AUUGAACGCUGGCGGCAGGCCUAACACAUGCAAGUCGAGCGGAUGAAGGGAGCUUGCUCCUGGAUUCAGCGGCGGACGGGUGAGUAAUGCCUAGGAAUCUGCCUGGUAGUGGGGUAUAACGUCCGGAAACGGGCGCUAAUACCGCAUACGUCCUGAGGGAGAAAGUGGGGGAUCUUCGGACCUCACGCUAUCAGAUGAGCCUAGGUCGGAUUAGCUAGUUGGUGGGGUAAAGGCCUACCAAGGCGACGAUCCGUAACUGGUCUGAGAGGAUGAUCAGUCACACUGGAACUGAGACACGGUCCAGACUCCUACGGGAGGCAGCAGUGGGGAAUAUUGGACAAUGGGCGAAAGCCUGAUCCAGCCAUGCCGCGUGUGUGAAGAAGGUCUUCGGAUUGUAAAGCACUUUAAGUUGGGAGGAAGGGCAGUAAGUUAAUACCUUGCUGUUUUGACGUUACCAAAAGAAUAAGCACCGGCUAACUUCGUG
Molecule: ribosomal RNA, 484 nt
Filed under: uncultured bacterium
Lineage: Bacteria
Description: partial 16S ribosomal RNA
Rfam family: Bacterial small subunit ribosomal RNA
Source: RNAcentral